This 505-nucleotide ribosomal RNA is filed under the name uncultured bacterium. RNAcentral describes it as "partial 16S ribosomal RNA". It matches the Rfam family "Bacterial small subunit ribosomal RNA", at positions 28 to 507 of the family's 1533-position model. The record is from RNAcentral.
GACGAACGCUGGCGGCGUGCCUAAUACAUGCAAGUAGAACGCACAGUUUAUACCGUAGCUUGCUACACCAUAGACUGUGAGUUGCGAACGGGUGAGUAACGCGUAGGUAACCUGCCUGGUAUCGGGGGAUAACUAUUGGAAACGAUAGCUAAUACCGCAUAAUAUUAAUUAUUGCAUGAUAAUUAAUUUAAAGGUGCAAUUGCACCACUACCAGCUGGACCUUCGUUGUAUUAGCUAGUAGGGGAGGUAACGGCUCACCUAGGCGAAGAUACAUAGCCGACCUGAGAGGGUGAUCGGCCAAACUGGGAAUGGGACACGGCCCAGAAUCCUACGGGAGGCAGCAGUAGGGGAUCUUCGGAAAUGGACGAAAGUCUGAACGCGCAACGCCGGGUGAGUGAAGAAGGUUCUCGGAUCGUAAAAGUCUGUUAUGAGGGGAGAACGGGUAUGAGAUUGAAAAGUUCACACUGUGACGGUACCUUACCAGAAAGCAACGGCUAACUACGUG